This 418-nucleotide RNase P RNA is filed under the name Candidatus Fermentithermobacillaceae bacterium. RNAcentral describes it as "RNase P RNA component class A". It matches the Rfam family "Bacterial RNase P class A". From Rfam's summary of the family: Ribonuclease P (RNase P) is a ubiquitous endoribonuclease, found in archaea, bacteria and eukarya as well as chloroplasts and mitochondria. Lineage: Bacteria; Bacillati; Bacillota; Candidatus Fermentithermobacillia; Candidatus Fermentithermobacillales; Candidatus Fermentithermobacillaceae. The record is from RNAcentral.
UAAGCAGGUCAAGUGGUCGCGGGCACGGUCCGGCCGUCAAGGUUGGCCGCGCCUGAGGAAAGUCCGGGCUCCAUAGGGCAGGGUGCUGGGUAACGCCCAGCGAAGGUGACUUCAGGGAAAGUGCCACAGAAACAUACCGCCCUGGGAGCCGUAGGUUCCGCGCCAUGAGGCAUGCCCAGCCUCGGAGCCACAAUGGAACCGGCGGUGAACAGGGUAAGGGUGAAAAGGUGGUGUAAGAGACCACCGGCAGUCGGGUGACCGGCUGGCCAGGUAAACCCCACCCGGAGCAAGACCAAAUAGGAGGGCCAUGACGCUGCCCGCCGAGCCCUCGGGUAUGGUCGCUGGAGGAGAAGGGUGACCUUCUUCCAAGAUGGAUGACCACUCUUGACAGAACCCGGCUUAUAGGCCUGCUUACCAA